RNAcentral lists this unclassified non-coding RNA (491 nucleotides) under uncultured Glomus. Its description in RNAcentral is "SSU rRNA". It matches the Rfam family "Eukaryotic small subunit ribosomal RNA", at positions 569 to 1058 of the family's 1831-position model. The record is from RNAcentral. Lineage: Eukaryota; Fungi; Glomeromycota; Glomeromycetes; Glomerales; Glomeraceae.
AGCAGCCGCGGUAAUUCCAGCUCCAAUAGCGUAUAUUAAAGUUGUUGCAGUUAAAAAGCUCGUAGUUGAAUUUCGGGAUUGGCGCAUCGGUCGUGCCUCACGGGGUAUGAACUGGUGCAGUCAAUUUCUCACCUUCUGGAGAACCGCGAUGUCCUUAAUUGGAUGCCGCGGGGAACCAGGACCUUUACUUUGAAAAAUUAGAGUGUUUAAAGCAGGCAUUUUUGCUUGAAUACAUUAGCAUGGAAUAAUAAAAUAGGACGGCAUGGUUCUAUUUUGUUGGUUUCUAGGACCACCGUAAUGAUUAAUAGGGAUAGUUGGGGGCAUUAGUAUUCAAUUGUCAGAGGUGAAAUUCUUGGAUUUAUUGAAGACUAACUACUGCGAAAGCAUUUGCCAAGGAUGUUUUCAUUAAUCAAGAACGAAAGUUAGGGGAUCGAAGACGAUCAGAUACCGUCGUAGUCUUAACCAUAAACUAUGCCGACUAGGAAUCAGAC